UACGGGGGGGGCAAGCGUUGUUCGGAAUUACUGGGCGUAAAGGGCUCGUAGGUGGCCAACUAAGUCAGACGUGAAAUCCCUCGGCUUAACCGGGGAACUGCGUCUGAUACUGGAUGGCUUGAGUUUGGGAGAGGGACGCGGAAUUCCAGGUGUAGCGGUGAAAUGCGUAGAUAUCGGGAGGAACACCAAUUGCGAAGGCAGCUCGCUGGGACGUCACUGACGCUGAGACGCGAAAGCGUGGGGAGCAAACAGG
Molecule: ribosomal RNA, 253 nt
Filed under: uncultured bacterium
Lineage: Bacteria
Description: partial 16S ribosomal RNA
Rfam family: Bacterial small subunit ribosomal RNA
Source: RNAcentral